GUUAUCCACGGCNCAAAUUAGGUUUACCAGGUGACUACAAGUUUGUUCNUAAAAGUUAAAGGAUCUGGCGGACUUACACGAAACGUACAGGGGAAUCUGGGUGUUAAAGGACGAUCCGCCUACAUUUGCUCCUUGUUUUAGCUGCUGCACAUGUAUGGCCGUUUUCAACUAUUGUUCGUAAGACAUGUGUGCAGAGGGCUUAAACAAUGACUUAAGGGUAGGUGUUUUUAUUCGCUUAACUUUAAUGUUAUUGUUAUAGCCACGAAAUGCAGGUUGUCAUUUGGCUACUAACAAGGCUAGCCUGGAUUACAGUUGAAAAUGAGCAAAUCGGAUUUAUCAAUUAAGAAAUUUAAUACAUGAAGGCGGACUUGUAAGUAAAAUUGGUAAAUAAUACCAAUUUGAACGAAGUGUAGUAGNACAAA
This 422-nucleotide ribosomal RNA is filed under the name Leiosolenus purpureus. Its description in RNAcentral is "Lithophaga purpurea partial 12S ribosomal RNA". Lineage: Eukaryota; Metazoa; Mollusca; Bivalvia; Mytilida; Modiolidae. The record is from RNAcentral.